UAUAUAUAUUAAAGAAAUAUUAUAUAAAUUAAGAAACAAAUAUACUUUUUUAUACAUAUAAAAACUUUUAUGGAAAGGGUUGUGAUUUGAGUUACUCAAUAGUAAUUUGCUGUAUAUAAACACUAUAGAUUACUAUAUUUUGUACCUAAGUAAUUGUCUGAUUGUAGAUGUCUCUAGGUUCGAUGUGCCUGCUGCAGGUGGCUGGUGAAGUGAGCCGUGAUCAACGCAAGGUUUCUUGCAGGCCCAUGUGGACAGGAGGAGCCGCUGCUGGCCUUCAGGACUGGAAAGUAUGCGCUCUGUGGCCGCAGUCCCACCUCUCAGCCUGGGAACGGAAGCAGGGAGUCGCAGGGGAAAACAAGCAGACAAUCAGUGCCCUGGGCUUUGCAAUGGAUAGCUUUCCCCCACCCUCCUGCUCCGAACGGCCACCCCCACCCCCAGCGCUGAAACCCGGCCAGCCCCAGCUGUCUGUCCAGAUGUGGGAGAGAAGGAGAGGCAAGGUCCAACAGGGGAUGAGGGCCUGAAACAGAAAAGGGCUCCAGAGAGAAUGGAGCAAAAAGAGAACCAAGACAGCGAGAGAGAGAGAGAGAGAGAGAAGAGGAAGAUGGAGAGAUGUCAAGGGGAAGUCUGAAUUUGUUCCCAGGGUCUUUAAGUAAAAGGUGGACGAGGAAUGGAAAGGUGUCACAAUGGCUUCCAAUUCAUCUCCGGAUGGUUCCAAAUGAGAGGAUCAAUGACACCAGACUGUGCCUUCUUUGAAAAGUCAGCGCAAUCAAGUCUGAUCUCAUGAUCUCAGUGGACUGGAACAUGGCCUAUCCCAGAGAGCGCAGACUUGGCAUAGUCGUAUCCAUAUAGUUGUUCCUGCUUGCCUGUGCAGGUCCUUCCAGGCCGGUCCUGAUUUAUGAACGGCCCCUGAGCUCUCACUCCAUCCUGGAGGGGCUCUCUGAUUAGAGAUGGAGAAGAGAGGUCUCUUCUAGUGCUCCUCCUCACCCUGGGUGUGACAGUCCAGCCUUUCAGACUGGAAACAAUGUGGAGCAGCACCUUCAUCAUGUAACGCAGCACCUCUGUGUCCCCUGCCAUAAUGACGCCUUCUCCCUGCGACCGCCAGCCUCUCUAGAGUGCAGUAAGGAAGGGGGAUCUGUAGCGCGCCUGUGGCCACGAGGACACUCCGCACUAGAAUACGGGGACAGGAAGUGACUCUGGAAUUCUCAGACGGCAGUGGUCUGAGGGAAAGGUUGACGUUUUCGGAAAGGCAACUAUGUCGUGAUGUACCAUCGACCGCGUGCAGAACACGUUUACGUUGUUCCAGCUAAUGGAUUUUUAUAAAUAGGUCACGGAUGAGUCACUUGCAUCAGUACUUCAGGAUAGACGUCUGCUUACUUCCUGGUGCCACACAGAGGGCAUCGCUGCUCAAGAGCCCCCUAGAUAGCGGGCUAAACUUAAGCAGGGCCCAUCCUGUUUUGGGAUUCUGCUGUAACCUUGAGCGUUUCGACUUUCCUGCAUCUCUCCAAAACAGUCAGCUGUUAUCAUUCCAGCGUCAUGUUCGUACCCCACACCAUGAUGCUAGCCGGUCGCUCUGAUACUUUACGCCACAUCUGUUUGUGUCUGAGGGAGACGUUCUUGACUGUAUAAUGUGUGCGUUCUCGUCCAUCUUACUGAUGGCUGCGUUCCAACACUCAGCUUUAGCCAGUGAGGGCUUUCUUGGUUUCACAUCCCUCUUCAGCCAAACACAAACACACACGUCCGGCCAGCCUGACCCGAGCUAUCUCUCCGCCUGCGAGUGCCAGACGCACACACAUACACACACGCCCUGGACCCUCCUGCUCUUCCCACGUUCCUCCUCUCCCUCUCUCCUCUGUUCUUCUCUCUCUUCUCUGCUUGCGUUUCCUUCUCUCCCUUCCUCUGCCUCAGCACCCUUGUACAUCUCAUUGUCUCUGGUCUCUUCAUCUUUCUCCACUUCCUGUGUCUUGCACCCUGUGCCCUCUCACGCCCCGUCUUUCAAGCUCCCCCUGUUUCUCUCCACAUCUCUCUCUCUUCGCGACGUGACUUUUAGCACAGACAUUGGGCCUGUUGCCAGUAAUCUGGGGCAGAGAGAUGAGCGGACAAACACACACACAUACACUGACACAUGCAGAUAUAAUAGGGCACACUCUAAUGUCUCUUCCAUAAACACUCGUUAGAUAUUUCACAUCAACUAACAAGAGUACUAAGAUUUACAGUCUUUAAGGAAUAUUUUAAAUUAGACUUCAUUGGCAGGGUCUGUGGACUACUGUUGGUAAAAACUGAAAAUUGUUAACAAUAACACUCCAUGAAAACAAGCGUUAUGGUUAUACAUUUGCAACAACCAUGGCCAUUGUAGACAUGUUUUACAAACUGAGGGAUGAGUCAACUUUUCUUUUUUUUUUUUUGUAUAAUUGACAGCAGAGCACAUAUUUUACCCCAGAAUACUCCCUUAGUGUGCAUUUAUAUUAUAUGUUUAGUGUUAUUUGACUGCUUUAUAUGUAUAUGUAUAAAAAUAAAAAUGUAUAAAUGGGUAGUUGACUUAUCAAUGGUGGGACGGAAAAAUGUAAAAAAAAAUAAAUAAUAAUAAUAAAAUAAAAUAACCUCUACCAUUGAAGAUAAACCUCUCUCAUGCUAUUAGUAACUCUAAGAAUGAAGAUACAUUUUUCUCAUGUUAUUUGUAUGUUAAGUUUUUUUUUUCUACAUUUUUGCUAUGUCACACCAUAGGACACAGUCCAAUUUUUAUUUGUCAACUACCCAUACAGUAUGUAUAAUAUAUGUAAAUAUUGCAAGUUACAUAUGUAUAUAUAUUAAAUGUGCAUAAUAUUAAAAUAAAUAUUGAAUAUGUGUGAUGUAUGACUGUAUAACGUAUACAUUUUGAAUACUUUUUGACUGUUUAAAAAAUAAAAAUUUAAUUAAAUUUAGAUAUUCAAUGUAUAAAAUACACACAGGCAUAUGCAUAUAUGUAGAAAUAUGUUAUAUAUAUAUGUUUUAUCAGUAUCUGAAUCAAAUGAUUGCUA
This is a long non-coding RNA of Onychostoma macrolepis, 3014 nucleotides long. RefSeq lists it as uncharacterized. The record is from RefSeq and is a predicted model, not a curated record. Lineage: Eukaryota; Metazoa; Chordata; Actinopteri; Cypriniformes; Cyprinidae. The transcript is spliced from 3 exons.